AGUGGCGCACGGGUGAGUAUACCAUAGAUAAUGUACCUCUUAGUUCGGGAUAGCCACUGGAAACGGUGAUUAAUACCGGAUACUCCUUCUUAUUAUAAGAUAAGUCGGGAAAGUUUUUUCGCUAAGAGAUCAGUCUAUGUCCCAUCAGUUUGUUGGUGAGGUAAUGGCUCACCAAGACUAUGACGGGUAUCUGGUUUGAGAGGAUGAUCAGACACACUGGAACUGAGACACGGUCCAGACUCCUACGGGAGGCAGCAGUGAGGAAUAUUGCACAAUGGAGGAAACUCUGAUGCAGCAACGCCGCGUGGAGGAUGACGCAUUUCGGUGUGUAAACUCCUUUUAAGAGGGAAGAUAAUGACGGUACCUCUUGAAUAAGCACCGGCUAACUCCGUGCCAGCAGCCGCGGUAAUACGGAGGGUGCAAGCGUUACUCGGAAUCACUGGGCGUAAAGGGUGCGUAGGCUGGCUUCUAAGUCAGAUGUGAAAUCCAAUGGCUCAACCAUUGAACUGCAUUUGAAACUGGGAGCCUAGAGUUCAGAAGGGGCAGAUGGAAUUAGUGGUGUAGGGGUAAAAUCCGUAGAUAUCACUAGGAAUAUCAAAAGCGAAGGCGAUCUGCUGGGAUGAUACUGACGCUGAGGCACGAAAGCGUGGGGAGCAAACAGGAUUAGAUACCCUGGUAGUCCACGCCCUAAACGAUGAAUGCUAGUCGUCGGGGAGCUCGUCUCUUCGGUGAUGCACUUAACAGAUUAAGCAUUCCGCCUGGGGAGUACGGUCGCAAGAUUAAAACUCAAAGGAAUAGACGGGGACCCGCACAAGUGGUGGAGCAUGUGGUUUAAUUCGAAGAUACACGAAGAACCUUACCUGGCCUUGACAUGGUAGGAACCCUUAAGAGAUUAGGGGGUGCUAGCUUGCUAGAACCUACACACAGGUGCUGCACGGCUGUCGUCAGCUCGUGUCGUGAGAUGUUGGGUUAAGUCCCGCAACGAGCGCAACCCUCGUCCUUAGUUGCUAACAGUUUGGCUGAGCACUCUAGGGAGACUGCCUUCGUAAGGAGGAGGAAGGUGAGGACGACGUCAAGUCAUCAUGGCCCUUACGGCCAGGGCUACACACGUGCUACAAUGGGGCGUACAGAGAGCUGCAAUACCGGCGAGGUGGAGCCAAUCUCUUAA
RNAcentral lists this ribosomal RNA (1168 nucleotides) under uncultured Campylobacterota bacterium. RNAcentral's name for it is "bacterial SSU rRNA". It matches the Rfam family "Bacterial small subunit ribosomal RNA", at positions 94 to 1279 of the family's 1533-position model. Lineage: Bacteria; Pseudomonadati; Campylobacterota. The record is from RNAcentral.